This 695-nucleotide ribosomal RNA is filed under the name uncultured bacterium. RNAcentral describes it as "bacterial SSU rRNA". It matches the Rfam family "Bacterial small subunit ribosomal RNA", at positions 66 to 756 of the family's 1533-position model. The record is from RNAcentral.
ACGGCAGCACGGGAGCAAUCCUGGUGGCGAGUGGCGAACGGGUGAGUAAUACAUCGGAACGUGCCCUGUCGUGGGGGAUAACUAGUCGAAAGAUUAGCUAAUACCGCAUACGACCUGAGGGUGAAAGCGGGGGACCGCAAGGCCUCGCGCGAUAGGAGCGGCCGAUGUCUGAUUAGCUAGUUGGUGGGGUAAAGGCCCACCAAGGCGACGAUCAGUAGCUGGUCUGAGAGGACGAUCAGCCACACUGGGACUGAGACACGGCCCAGACUCCUACGGGAGGCAGCAGUGGGGAAUUUUGGACAAUGGGGGCAACCCUGAUCCAGCAAUGCCGCGUGUGUGAAGAAGGCCUUCGGGUUGUAAAGCACUUUUGUCCGGAAAGAAAUCCCCUGCUCUAAUACAGCGGGGGGAUGACGGUACCGGAAGAAUAAGCACCGGCUAACUACGUGCCAGCAGCCGCGGUAAUACGUAGGGUGCGAGCGUUAAUCGGAAUUACUGGGCGUAAAGCGUGCGCAGGCGGUUUUGUAAGACAGGCGUGAAAUCCCCGAGCUCAACUUGGGAAUGGCGCUUGUGACUGCAAGGCUAGAGUAUGUCAGAGGGGGGUAGAAUUCCACGUGUAGCAGUGAAAUGCGUAGAGAUGUGGAGGAAUACCGAUGGCGAAGGCAGCCCCCUGGGACGUCACUGACGCUCAUGCACGA